UCAAAAACUUAGUCUCAGUUCGGAUUGUAGGCUGAAACUCGCCACAUGAAGCUGGAGUUGCUAGUAAUCGCGAAUCAGCAUGUCGCGGUGAAUACGUUCCCGGGCCUUGUACACACCGCCCGUCACACCAUGAGAGUUGGCAAUACCCAACGUACGUGAUCUAACCCGCAAGGGAGGAAGCGUCCUAAGGUAGGGUCAGCGAUUGGGGUGAAGUCGUAACAAGGUAUC
Molecule: ribosomal RNA, 228 nt
Filed under: uncultured bacterium
Lineage: Bacteria
Description: partial 16S ribosomal RNA
Rfam family: Bacterial small subunit ribosomal RNA
Source: RNAcentral